RNAcentral lists this ribosomal RNA (241 nucleotides) under uncultured Staphylococcus sp. RNAcentral describes it as "partial 16S ribosomal RNA". It matches the Rfam family "Bacterial small subunit ribosomal RNA", at positions 100 to 334 of the family's 1533-position model. The record is from RNAcentral. Lineage: Bacteria; Bacillati; Bacillota; Bacilli; Caryophanales; Staphylococcaceae.
GGGACGGGUGAGUAACACGUGGAUAACCUACCUAUAAGACUGGGAUAACUUCGGGAAACCGGAGCUAAUACCGGAUAAUAUAUUGAACCGCAUGGUUCAAUAGUGAAAGACGGUUUUGCUGUCACUUAUAGAUGGAUCCGCGCCGCAUUAGCUAGUUGGUAAGGUAACGGCUUACCAAGGCAACGAUGCGUAGCCGACCUGAGAGGAUGAUCGGCCACACUGGAACUGAGACACGGUCCAG